ACACAUUAUCUUCCAGUGCUUGCGAGCUUCUCAAGGCCCCACGAUAAGCUGUUCUCUCAGUUUCUUUGAGAGAACGGUGGCCUUGUUUGGCAGCUGUGGAGAGUGCGGUCCCCACAACACCUGUACCUGUUGCAUCUUUACGGGGACUUCUGCUAGAAGUGUCAAGACCAGCAGAGGAACACAUCUGAUGUUGCUGAGAAGGGAACUUGGUGUUUGCAUGGUCCUUUACUACCCCCAUCAGGUGGACAAACGACCGUGUGCUGCCCUGAAGACGUCGACUUUUAACUUCGAAAGACAAAAAAGUGUUUCAAGGUUACAGAAACAAGAAAACAAGUGCGUAUCGAUGCGACAUACAGUAGCCUCCCUCUGAAGGUGCUGUGAAGGCUCUGAACAACUACCAACACUAAACACCCUGGGGGUCCUUCACCUGUAGGCCACAGAAACACGCUCUAAAAACACAAAUCCAAGCAGAUUGAAUUGGUUGGAGUCUUUCUAAAAAUGCUCAGACAGCUACCACCACAGUUGCCUGAACUACUAAACAAACUCAGUAACACUGGGAGACUGUUUAUUAACCAGUAUGAAAGUAAGAAGACAAGAAUGCAAGCCACUGCAGGUGAACUUGCAGGGGUAUCUAACCAUUCAAAAGGCGUGCAGAACACCACAAACACAUCCAGACUAGCUGGGGCAGCUUUAGGAGGACUUGGAGCGAUUGUGGGAUUAGCUGCAGCUUUUUUACCAGGACCUGGAAAACUGGCAUUGUGCAUCGCAGGAGGCGCUGCAGCAGUCUUUGGGGGUGCGUCUGUGGUUACUGCAAAUGCAACCAAGGCCACGACAGAGAUCAUAAGUAGGGAGAAAGUUAAAGAGUUAGGAAAAGAAUUCAUACAAAUCAUUGAACUGCAAAAGGGUCUCUUGGAAGACAUUAACACAGCGUCUGAGGAGUUGGAAGAAAAAUGCUUCUCCUUAAUUACAAAAACGAGAAACCAGGCAAAGAUAGGACUGUGGAACACAGAAGGACUUCAGCAGCUUCUGAUUCAAACAGCUAAACUGUCAGAAACGAGCAGGGCAGUCGUGGACGGGACUCUAUCCGUGCUCAGUCAAGUGAAGGAACUGUUAGACUUCAUUAUCACUCUCUCCAGAAUCACUCCGACAGCUGAGGAGGACGCAAUGCUCAGAAACUGCAUCACAGAAUCAGCCCUGCAGUGCGGGAAAACCGUUCUGGAGUGUGCAAAGAUAAGGAACAUGCUCAGGGACUACGAGGAAAUGCAGGCAGAGUAGGAGCGUGCAGCUGAAGUAAAGCAAAGGUCCUUCAAUGACAUAAAAGUGUAUUAUUUUUGCAGUCAAAUAUAAUAUCAACACGAUUAUAAAUGCAUAGCUUUAUAGCUACAGGAAUAAAAAGGUACU
Molecule: long non-coding RNA, 1401 nt
Organism: Eleginops maclovinus (Patagonian blennie)
Lineage: Eukaryota; Metazoa; Chordata; Actinopteri; Perciformes; Eleginopidae
Exons: 5
Source: RefSeq, a predicted model, not a curated record